Molecule: ribosomal RNA, 496 nt
Filed under: uncultured bacterium
Lineage: Bacteria
Description: partial 16S ribosomal RNA
Rfam family: Bacterial small subunit ribosomal RNA
Source: RNAcentral
GAUGAACGCUGGCGGCGUGCCUAAUACAUGCAAGUCGAGCGAACGGACGAGAAGCUUGCUUCUCUGAUGUUAGCGGCGGACGGGUGAGUAACACGUGGAUAACCUACCUAUAAGACUGGGAUAACUUCGGGAAACCGGAGCUAAUACCGGAUAAUAUUUUGAACCGCAUGGUUCAAAAGUGAAAGACGGUCUUGCUGUCACUUAUAGAUGGAUCCGCGCUGCAUUAGCUAGUUGGUAAGGUAACGGCUUACCAAGGCAACGAUGCAUAGCCGACCUGAGAGGGUGAUCGGCCACACAGGAACUGAGACACGGUCCAGACUCCGACGGGAGGCAGCAGUAGGGAAUCUUCCGCAAUGGGCGAAAGCCUGACGGAGCAACGCAGCGUGAGUGAUGAAGGUCUUCGGAUCGUAAAACUCUGUUAUUAGGGAAGAACAUAUGUGUAAGUAACUGUGCACAUCUGGACGGUACCUAAUCAGAAAGCCACGGCUAACUACGU